GCCUGGCAUUUCCAUAAAACCCUCUCAAGACAUGAUGGAAUGAUUCGAUUUUUAUUCAUAGCAGCCAAUGAGAACGAGGCCUUCCCUACAGCUUCAGCUCUGGAGAGCAGCCCUAAAACUGGACAUGCCUGGACGCCAUGCAUUUCAGAAGUGUUGCAGAUUUUUAGAAGGAAAGAAUCAUGGUGUGGAAUUGGCAGAGGAAGGUGGGGAACAACAGGAAUUUUGCAAGCUGCCAGAUGUUAAUCAAAAACCUCUGUAUGGAGAACAUGCCAUCCAGGUCAGGAGUCAAUGUGGUCAGCUGUAGGCUCGUUACUUUUUACUCAGUACCAAG
Peromyscus maniculatus bairdii (prairie deer mouse) is the source of this 331-nucleotide non-coding RNA. The record is from RefSeq and is a predicted model, not a curated record. NCBI's taxonomy places the organism in Eukaryota, Metazoa, Chordata, Mammalia, Rodentia, Cricetidae.